This 429-nucleotide ribosomal RNA is filed under the name uncultured bacterium. RNAcentral's name for it is "bacterial SSU rRNA". It matches the Rfam family "Bacterial small subunit ribosomal RNA", at positions 355 to 775 of the family's 1533-position model. The record is from RNAcentral.
UGAGGAAUCUUGCGCAAUGGGGGAAACCCUGACGCAGCAACGCCGCGUGAGUGAGGAAGGCCUUCGGGUCGUAAAGCUCUGUCGGGUGGAAAGAAACGCAUGGGUGCUAAUACCAUCUAUGCUUGACGGUACCGCCAAAGGAAGCACCGGCUAACUCCGUGCCAGCAGCCGCGGUAAUACGGGGGGUGCAAGCGUUGUUCGGAAUCAUUGGGCGUAAAGAGCGUGUAGGCGGCUGGAUAAGUCAGAUGUGAAAGCCCUGGGCUCAACCCAGGAAGUGCAUUUGAUACUGUCCUGCUAGAGUAGGGAAGAGGGAAGUGGAAUUCCUGGUGUAGAGGUGAAAUUCGUAGAUAUCAGGAGGAACACCGGUGGCGAAGGCGACUUCCUGGUCCUAUACUGACGCUGAGACGCGAGAGCGUGGGGAGCAAACAG